Molecule: non-coding RNA, 414 nt
Organism: Diceros bicornis minor
Lineage: Eukaryota; Metazoa; Chordata; Mammalia; Perissodactyla; Rhinocerotidae
Source: the annotation of a RefSeq genome assembly
AUGUUGUUCUCCAGCCUUCUGAAGGUGGUCAUGGCUUCAAUGCGGCUAGGAUCCAGUAUUGCCCAGAAGGUAACUCAAGCCCAACCAGCAAUGUUAGUGCAUGAGAAGGAGGCUGUGACCCUGAACUGCAGAUAUGAUACCAGUGAUGCAAGGUAUAGUCUAUUCUGGUACAAGCAGCCCAGCCAUGGGGUGAUGAUGUUUCUUAUUCGCCAGGAUUCUUAUAACCAGCAAAAUGCCACAGAAGGUCACUACUCAUUGAAUUUCCAGAAGGCAAACAAGUCCAUCAAGCUUGUCAUCUCAGCUUCACAGACAGAAGACUCUGCAGUGUAUUUCUGUGCACUGAGGGAGACCACAGGGGGAAAGGUUGUACAGGGCAGUGGUUCCCAAAUGCCAGACCUUCAACCACCAACAUGA